AUUGAACGCUGGCGGCAGGCCUAACACAUGCAAGUCGAACGAGUGGCGGACGGGUGAGUAAUGUCUGGGAAACCGCCUGAUGGAGGGGGAUAACUACUGGAAACUGUAGCUAAUACCGCAUACCAUCAGAUGCGCCCAGAUGGGAUUAGAUAGUAGGUGGGGUAACGGCUCACCAAGGCGACGAUCCCUAGCUGGUCUGAGAGGAUGACCAGCCACACUGGAACUGAGACACGGUCAAGACUCCUACGGGAGGCAGCAGUGGGGAAUAUUGCACAAUGGGCGCAAGCCUGAUGCAGCCAUGCCGCGUGUAUGAAGAAGGCCUUCGGGUUGUAAAGUACUUUCAGCGAGGAGGCGUUACUCGCAGAAGAAGCACCGGCUAACUCCGUGCCAGCAGCCGCGGUAAUUC
This 406-nucleotide ribosomal RNA is filed under the name uncultured bacterium. RNAcentral describes it as "partial 16S ribosomal RNA". It matches the Rfam family "Bacterial small subunit ribosomal RNA", at positions 30 to 526 of the family's 1533-position model. The record is from RNAcentral.